UCGCUUCAGCAGCAAAUAUACUAAAAUUGGAACGAUACAGAGAUUAGCAUAGCCCCUGUGCAAAGAUGACACACACACAAAUCCAUCUUG
Small nuclear RNA from Ochotona princeps (American pika), 90 nucleotides. The record is from Ensembl. Lineage: Eukaryota; Metazoa; Chordata; Mammalia; Lagomorpha; Ochotonidae.